RNAcentral lists this ribosomal RNA (1431 nucleotides) under Lepocinclis cylindrica. RNAcentral's name for it is "SSU rRNA". It matches the Rfam family "Eukaryotic small subunit ribosomal RNA", at positions 85 to 1173 of the family's 1831-position model. Lineage: Eukaryota; Euglenozoa; Euglenophyceae; Euglenales; Phacaceae. The record is from RNAcentral.
UUCUGUGAAUGGCUCCUUACAUCAGCAGGCAUCUCUGUGAGAGUGCGGGGGCCCCAUCUGCCAGGUGGCCCCAUUGGAUACCCUCCAAAACCUAGUGGCUAAUACACGGCUGAACAGGUCUGCUACAGUCAAGGGUCUUGCCGGCCUCCGUGUUGGCUUGACCAGGCAGUGGAUUGCAUCCAGCUGGAGGGGAAGACCAGCGCCUGGAAUGGCAGUGUGUUUGGCUGACUCAGGUUGGUCCUCUGGGGACACCCGUGCUGGCAGAGUGGUGGCUUGCCACAGCAUUGCUUGAUCACACAGAACUUCUGACCUAUCAGCCUGGAUGGUGGUGUCGAGGGCCACCAUGGCAGUCACGGGUAACGGAGAAUCAGGGUUCGAUUCCGGAGAGGGAGCCUGAGAGACGGCUACCACUACUAAGGUGGGCAGCAGGCACGCAAAUUGCCCCAUGCUGAUGCACUUGUGAGGCAGCAACGAGCCGCAGCAAUUCCCCUGGCCUCUAUGACUGGGGGAACUUGGAAUGGAUGCAAUCCAAACACAGUGAUGAGUNUCAACUGGAGGGCAAGUCUGGUGCCAGCAGCUGCGGUAAUUCCAGCUCCAAGGGCGUAUACUAACAUUGCUGUUNNUAAAACACUUGUAGUCGGAUGCUGGGUUUGCAGGUCUGUUGGGUGCAGCUGUGGGCUGUCUGUCCAUGAGUCUUCGGGCUUGUGGCUGUGGUCCGCACUGAUACAACCCCGGCAGUAUGUUCCUGCACCCGUUUUCAUGACGGCGCGAAUAGCUCCUGCUCCAAGUCUCCUUCAGUGGGGGUCGCUGUGGUCUCAUACCCAAAGCUUGUGUGUUGACACCGUGAGGGGCAUAGCCCAUGUUAUGCAGUUCUCUCUGUCCACCACCGGAGCCCGCUGUCACUGAUACUGUGGAAAACUCAGUGUGCCCAAAGCAGCCUGUUGGCUGGAUGUCCGUCCAUGGAAUGUCAUAGCAUCGACCGGAUACGGCUGUGGAGUUGUGCUGGCCUUGGUGCCUAUUCCGGAGAACGUGGCCCAGUCCACAGUUGCAUGGAGGUAUUGCUGCCGUCUGGCUGGUGGUGCUCACCCGUGUCUNUGAUGGGCUGUGUCGAGCGUGCAUGAUGGGACUUCUCGGGGUGCAAGGUAUUGCAACGCCAGAGGUGAAAUUCUUAGACCGCUGCAAGACCAACUGCAGCGAAGGCGUUCUGCAAGUGCAAGUUNGUCGAUCAAGAAUGUGAGUGUGGGGAGCGAAGAUGAUCAGACACCGUCGUAGUCCACAACUGUAAACCAUGCCAGCUCGGUGAUGUUGCAGCAAGUACACGGACUGCAUCAGCACCAUACCCCCUGCAACGAGAAAUCCAAGCCCAUGGUCAAGGGGGAGUACUGUCGCAAGGCUGAAACUUAAAGGAAUUGNCGGAANGUGAACCCAUAG